AGCGCACGAGAGUGGUUGAGCUUGAAAUCACUUGGGAAGCUUGAAAGCACUUGAUUUCUUCACUUGAAUGCUCUCACUCCCUUGAACUUUUCUCUCUUGAAUGAUUUUGCUUUGGGUUGGUAAAAAGUUGUUGAGAAGCACUUAAGAGCUCCCUUUUAUAGCCCAAAAAGCAAAUAUAGCCGUUAGAGAUAAAGUAGAGAAGAUUUGAAAUUCAAAUCAAACCUGAAAAGUUGUCAGUCGCGUUCCAGACGCUCCGGGGACGUCUCCGCUACAACGAGAGACGUCUCGGCUACUGGAUUUUACUUUUUCCGUUGUUUGGGGUCGACUCGGCACUUUACGGGGACGUCUCGGCUUGUCUGCACUUUUUGAGUGGGGACGACUCCGCUGC
This 388-nucleotide long non-coding RNA is filed under the name Phoenix dactylifera (date palm). RNAcentral describes it as "long non-coding RNA (PDAC_LNC012648)". Lineage: Eukaryota; Viridiplantae; Streptophyta; Magnoliopsida; Arecales; Arecaceae. The record is from RNAcentral.